UGCAACAAAGGUCGAGGUCUAAUCAGCACCACUGCCCUGCACAAUAUCCCUUCCUUUGUCAUGCAAAGGCUUCCUGAACGACAAAUCCUAGCUAAAAGCAGCAGAAACUAGCCAUAAGAGUUGGAUCGAGGAUCCUCUCUUCCUCCGGACAUGCGCUGUGACCUCCUCGAGCCUAUUGGCCGCCGUAACGUGAUCCGGCCGGAGCUGCAACUGUCACAUAACCCCACCUUGAUUGCUGCUGGUUCGACAAGCAUACAAGUCUCACAUGAUCCCGGACCACACUGUCUUCAAAGCUAAGCAGCUGGAGCAGUACACCAUGGCUGAGUUGCAGUGAGGGAGAAAGCGUUCCCCCCAUCCGAUUCCCAUGAAAGCACGGGAGCAUAAAGAUAGACCAUGUGAGACUGCUUGAAUCAAACAUGCAAGAUGCGUCAUUGGCUGUGCUAAUGAUUGUGAGCUGGUUUCGUAGAUAGAGGUGAGGCGGGGGCAGCCGGCCACACAGAUCAUGUGGGGAGGCCUCAGGCAGUGAGGACAGGAGUA
This 537-nucleotide long non-coding RNA is filed under the name Musa acuminata (dwarf banana). RNAcentral's name for it is "long non-coding RNA (MACU_LNC002827)". Lineage: Eukaryota; Viridiplantae; Streptophyta; Magnoliopsida; Zingiberales; Musaceae. The record is from RNAcentral.